GUCGCUGUAUUAUUAUUUAAAUAUAGUUAAUAGCAAGUUCAGUUCAAUUUGUCUGUCCAAUCAUUUGUUAAUUAAAUUUCAACAAAUAAAGAAAUGUUUAAAUCAAGCCUGAUGUUGUAAAGAUCUCACUCCAUGCAGCAUAAAGCUUAUAAAACACUCGAUCGGUGUUUGAUGCUGCGAGAUGCAUGUAAAACAUGGUGUAACAUUUGUCUUGUGCUAAACCCGGAUCCCGACAAUAUUCUAUCGACAUUAUCAAACAAGCCGCAAGUAAAUGUGAAUACGCGCAUUUACAAAAUGUACAUUUUAUACAAAUGAGGCCACAAAUGGGCUGUAGCCGAAAUACACAUUAAAGCAGUUCUAUCAGAGGGAUUUAGUAAACUGUGCCGUGAUACAAAGGAUCCACACACACACACACACACACACAUGCAGGGAUGAUAACUGUUCCCACUUGCAAAUGUCCUGCAGCCGAGGAUGCAAAGUGGCACCUCGCACACAACUUACUGUCUGACCUUAUUGUCCUCGACCACACUGCCUGAUCGUGUUUGUUAGACUCACAAUACGUUCAUGUGUCAAUUAUCUGAUGGUUAUAAAAGUACAGUAAAAUAAUUGAUGAAUCAGAGAUGGCCUAUAUUGGCAUCCAUCCCACGAUUAUUCUUCUCAACAUCUCUGCACUGAAAAAACAUGUGGAGUGCGAUUUACUUAAUAAAACUUAGGAAAGUUUUUGCACUUGUGGUGGUGGUGGUUGGUGUGGGGGGGUCUAAGGCCCCCCGUGCUCAGAUACUUGAAGACGUGCCGCUCCAGAUGCCGCUGCCACCCAGAUGUAUUGUAUAUUGUGUCGUCAUUACACCAGUGUUGGGAUGAUUUAACCCUCCUUUCGGUUUCGCCCGGCUUGUUGCUUCGCUUGCCGGCUGCUCACCGUGACUUUAAGACCGUCUGUCUGCUGGUGUGCUGUGGCCUGCUGAUGCCGCUCUAGUCCUCCUUUGGAGAAAUUUACUGUAGCACAAUUUUCUAUUCAAUCCGUUUUAGUACAAUUUAUUCAUCUCUGGAGUUUCUUCAAGUCUACCCAAAGAUUUUUUUAACAUCACAUUUCAACAUCAACAGCUGGCAGUUGUUGUACACCUGCUAUUAAAAAAUGCUUUUGAGUAAUUAUUAAUAAUCAUUUUGGAUAUUUAGUGCAAAUAAUAUUCAAUAAGACCAUUGUUAGCUAUACUUGAGCUUUUGUUACUUAUUCAAAACUGAAGACAGGAAGGAAGGAAAUACAAAUGUAGGGCUUUAAAUCUGCUCUGCUCUAAGCGUGAUGUUUAACAAAUGAAUGCACAGAAAAUGAACUGUCUUGUUAUUUAUUGAAAUAAUAAUACAUGUACACCAGCGACUUUGUGAAUCAUCUUAAAAAAGAACAGGAAUUACAAGUUACAAGUAAACAUUAUUUUAGCGUUAUUUUACGGUAAAAUACCACAAAUGGCGUUUGCACUAUGUUACUGUAAAAUGGAUUACUGUAUGUUACCAUAAACUUGAACGAAUUUGACUGUGAAUUAACUGCAAUUUACUGGCAGUUGACACUAGUAAUUUACUGUUUUAUUUACCGUGCCCUACCGUAAUUUACGGUAUGUUGUUGUAUAUUGGAUUACAGUUUGUUACCAUACGAUUACUGUUUUUGUGUUAUAAAUACCAGAAUGUCAAUGUCAAUUUUAUUUAUACAGCACUUUUAAAGGCCAGUGGCCAGCCAAAGUGCUUUACAGGAUAAAAAACAAUCAGCAUCAAUAAAACAAUACGAAGAAA
Gasterosteus aculeatus aculeatus (three-spined stickleback) is the source of this 1779-nucleotide long non-coding RNA. NCBI's taxonomy places the organism in Eukaryota, Metazoa, Chordata, Actinopteri, Perciformes, Gasterosteidae. The record is from Ensembl.